UGGGGAAUAUUGCACAAUGGAGGGAACUCUGAUGCAGCGACGCCGCGUGAGUGAUGAAGGAAUUCGUUUCGUAAAACUCUGUUCUAUGGGAAGAAAAGGACUGUACCAUAGGAGAAAGCUCCGGCUAAAUACGUGCCAGCAGCCGCGGUAAUACGUAUGGAGCUAGCGUUGUCCGGAAUUAUUGGGCGUAAAGGUUGCGCAGGCGGCUUUACAAGUUGGAUGUGAAAUAUUGUGGCUCAACCACAAACGUGCAUCGAAAACUGCAAAGCUUGAGUUAAGGAGAGGUAAGUGGAAUUCCUGGUGUAGCGGUGGAAUGCGUAGAUAUAAGGAGGAAUACCGGUGGCGAAGGCGACUUACUGGACUUAAACUGACGAUCAGGCACGAAAGAGUGGGGAGCAAACAGG
This 404-nucleotide ribosomal RNA is filed under the name Fusobacteriota bacterium. RNAcentral describes it as "Fusobacteria bacterium partial 16S ribosomal RNA". It matches the Rfam family "Bacterial small subunit ribosomal RNA", at positions 355 to 776 of the family's 1533-position model. The record is from RNAcentral. Lineage: Bacteria; Fusobacteriati; Fusobacteriota.